GUACCAACCCGACUACAAAGACAUCAGCAAAUCCAUGCAGCACCAGAAGUCGCAUUAAUGAGACAUGCAGAGGGGAGAUUGUUCGGAUAUAAACAGCAACACGACACAAUUUGGAGCUCGACGAGGGACAGCUCGGCCAGGGACAGCUCGGCGAGCGACACAAGAGGGCGGCAAUCUCCGGGGUGAGACUCUGCAAUCAACCAGGGAUGGGGAGACUUGCCGAGUAGCGACGUGUCGCCGAACACGAGUUUAGAGCUGACAGAAGAAAUAUCGCUCAAAGUCAUUCUAUCCUGAGUGCCAGCUCCCACCAGCAGCUCCACCGAGCAAGGGUGUCUGCCACCAGCGAUCGAACUGCACGCGCAAUCGGGCAUCGACAAAGAGCACGGGGCAGGAGGGAGCGCGUGCGGCGCAGCUCCUACAGCAGUGGAAGGAGCCUGCUGCUGCCAGCGGACCAGCGGCAAGCGCGAUCGAGCAUCUUCAAGGACAAGCAAUGUGCCGACGCAGCUCCUCCAGCAGUGGAAAGAGCCUGUAUCUACCAGCGGACGGGCAGCUUAGCCGACGCCCCGAGCAAGAAAAAGCAACGAAGCCGUUGUAAGACUCGCCCAACCAUCACACCCUCACCGCUCCACAGGGGACAAACACAUUUGAUACAAGGGAUGCCCAACCUCGGCGUUUGCUUAACGCAAGAAGAUCAACAACACUCACGCAUUAACACGUACAAGAAGACUCGUGAUAAGUGUGUCAACUAUUAGCUGAUAACGAAGAACAUUUCGUCCCAUUGAGUUACGUGGACACAGUCAUUUCGAAGUAUUUUAGUCGUUAUUUUUUUCUCUUUUAAUUGCAUAACUAUUACCAAUGAAUUCAUUGAUGAAACUAAACUUUUAUAAACCUACGUUACGAAUCUACACACUCACAGGGAGAAUAUUGUGUUGAAAUCGUGAUUUUGAUCACAGAAUCUUGCCCGCGAAUUAAUUGAAGCCUCAGCCAAUUGAUAAGCAUUUGCUGAAGCAGGCACACUGUCGCACACCAUUGUUCCAAGACAUUUCGUAAUUACAUAAUCUUCCCAAUGAAUUCAUUGCCUUAUACUUUUGCCUUCGGGACAUGCUUCUUUAUUGCCCUUCAUAUGACUAUCGUUGCAUGAAUUUUUAAGGACUUUUUCCUAUCACCGUAUAUGAGCGCGUUACUCUAAGGAAUUAAUAAAUUAUUCUAUUAGCCAGUUUAACAAACGUGAUCAUUGAGGGUUUAAUGUAUGGAUCGAUGAGGAGAACAUCUCCAGGAGUACUGUGUUGAUAAUUCCAAGCAUAAAGAGUUCGCAUAUUAGAGUGUUAUGUUUUUGUUUAGAAAUUAAAAUUGCUUAACCCAGAA
Petromyzon marinus (sea lamprey) is the source of this 1365-nucleotide non-coding RNA. The record is from RefSeq and is a predicted model, not a curated record. NCBI's taxonomy places the organism in Eukaryota, Metazoa, Chordata, Hyperoartia, Petromyzontiformes, Petromyzontidae.